GAGUUCGAUUAUGGCUCAGAUUGAACGCUGGCGGGAUGCUUUUUAUGGCACAUGCAAGUCGAACGGCAGCACGGACUUCUGGUCUGCGGUGGCGAGUGGCGAACGUAAGAGUAAUGUAUCGGAACGUGCUCUAGUAGCGGGGAUAACUACGCGAAAGCGUAGCUAAUACCGCAUACGCUCUCCUGGGAAAGGGGACCUUCGGCCUCGCACUAUUAGAGCGGGUCGAUAUCGGAUUAGCUAGUUGGUGGUAACGUCUUCCACCAAGGCGAUGAUCCGUAGCUGGUUUGAGAGGACGACCAGCCACACUGGGACUGAGAUACGCCCAGACUCCUACGGAGGCAGCAGUGGGGAAUUUUGAUAAUAAACUCCUGAUCCAGCCAUCUCCGCGUGUGCGAUGAAGGCCUUCGCUAGUAAAGCACUUUUGGCAGGAAGAAACGGCACGGGAUAAUACCCCGUGCAACUGAUUGUACCCGCAAGCAACAAGCACCGGCUAACUACGUGCCAGCAGCCGCGGUAAUACGGGAGGGUGCAAGCGUUAAUCGGAAUUACUGGCGUAGCGUGCGCAGGCGGUUCGGGAAAGAAAGAUGUGAAAUCCCAGAGCUUUUAACUUUUGGAACUGCAUUUUUAACUACCGAGCUAGAGUGUGUCAGAGUGGAGGUGGAAUUCCGCGUAGUAGCAGUGAAUGCGUAGAUAUGCGGAGGAACACCGAUGGCGAAGGCAGCCUCCUGGGAUAACACUGACGCUCAUGCACGAAAGCGUGGGAGCAAAACAGGAUUAGAUACCCUGGUAGUCCACGCCCUAAACGAUGUCAACUAGCUGUUGGGGCCUUCGCCUUGGUAGCGCAGCCAACGCGUGAAGUUGACCGCCUGGGGAGUACGGUCGCAAGAUUAAACUCAAAGGAAUUGACGGGGACCCGCACAAGCGGUGGAUGAUGUGGAUUAAUCUGAUGCAACGCGAAAAACCUUACCUACCCUGACAUGUCUGGAAUCCCGAAGAGAUUUGGGAGUGCUCGCAAGAGAACCGAACACAGGUGCUGCAUGACUGUCGUCAGCUCGUGUCGUGAGAUGCUGGGUUAAGUCCCGGCAACGAGCGUGCAACCCUUUUGUCGAGCCAUUAGUUGCUACGAAAGGGCACUCUAAUGAUACUGCCGGCACAAACUGAGGAAGGUGGGGAUGACGUCAAGUCCUCAUGGCCCUUAUGGGCAGGGCUUCACACGUCAUACAAUGGUCGGGGACAGAGGGUCGCCAACCCGCGAGGGGAGCCAAUCCUGCGAAACCCGAUCGUAGUCCGGAUCGCAGUCUGUAACUCGACUGGUGUGAAGUCGGAAUCGUUAGUAAUCGCGGAUCAGCAUGUCGUGGUGAAUACGUUCCUGGGUCUUGUACACACCGCCCGUCACAACAUGGGAGUGGGUUUUACCAGAAGUAGUUAUCUAACCGCAAGGGGGGGCGAUAUUACUGGGUAGGAUCUUAUGACUGGGGUGAAGUCGUAACAAGGUAG
RNAcentral lists this ribosomal RNA (1497 nucleotides) under uncultured Bordetella sp. RNAcentral describes it as "partial 16S-23S ribosomal RNA intergenic spacer". It matches the Rfam family "Bacterial small subunit ribosomal RNA". Lineage: Bacteria; Pseudomonadati; Pseudomonadota; Betaproteobacteria; Burkholderiales; Alcaligenaceae. The record is from RNAcentral.